GGAUUAGAUACCCUGGUAGUCCACACCGUAAACGCUGUCUACUAGCUGUGUGUGUCUUUAAGACGUGCGUAGCGAAGCUAACGCGCUAAGUAGACCGCCUGGGGAGUACGGCCGCAAGGUUAAAACUCAAAUGAAUUGACGGGGGCCCGCACAAGCGGUGGAGCAUGUGGUUUAAUUCGAUGCAACGCGAAGAACCUUACCUACACUUGACAUGCUGAGAAGUUACUAGAGAUAGUUUCGUGCCUUCGGGAACUCAGACACAGGUGCUGCAUGGCUGUCGUCAGCUCGUGCCG
This 293-nucleotide ribosomal RNA is filed under the name uncultured bacterium. RNAcentral's name for it is "partial 16S ribosomal RNA". It matches the Rfam family "Bacterial small subunit ribosomal RNA", at positions 775 to 1067 of the family's 1533-position model. The record is from RNAcentral.